Triticum aestivum (bread wheat) is the source of this 125-nucleotide non-coding RNA. The record is from Rfam. NCBI's taxonomy places the organism in Eukaryota, Viridiplantae, Streptophyta, Magnoliopsida, Poales, Poaceae.
CAUAUAAUCCCUCCGUCUAGAAAUACUUGUCGGAGAAAUUGAUGUAUCUAGACAUAUUUUAGUUCUAGAUACAUCCAUUUUUAUCCAUUUCUCCGACAAGUAUUUCCAUACGGAGGUUGUAGUUA